Long non-coding RNA from Oreochromis aureus, 931 nucleotides. RefSeq lists it as uncharacterized. The transcript is spliced from 3 exons. The record is from RefSeq and is a predicted model, not a curated record. Lineage: Eukaryota; Metazoa; Chordata; Actinopteri; Cichliformes; Cichlidae.
AAAUACAGGGCUGCAAAAUCCCUUUUUGUUAUUUAAGGCUAUAGCCUGUUAUUGUCACAAGGGGGUGCUGUGAUGCAGUCUUGUGUUCUGACGACCUUGCGUCUAGUGCGCAGGAAGUAUUACCUGUCUCUUCCUGUGAGAUCUUCCCUCUGAUGGCGGUCAAGUGCGUGUCGGAGCGCAUGGAAAAAGCAUCUUGGCCCCGAACUCUGACCACAAAGGGAAUAACGUCUGUCAAGUUAUUUGUGUUGGAAAAUCCCGAUUGGUUUUUUGACUACUAGAAGGAUUCUGGAGAACCACUAACGGCGAGAACAGCCCAAAUGAGAUCCUGGAUGAUCGUGAAAUGGUGUGGCCAGCCAUGCGAUCGGAUUGUGGGAUUUGCCUGAGAAACUGAUUCAAGCAACCCUGGAUUUCAGAUAAGCCCUAUGCACCACUUUUCCUACCCGGAUAAUAGGGUCUACACACUGACAAUUCCCCUACAGUACACCUGUUUGGGUUUCAACAACUUUAAAGGACAAUUCAAACUUCACAAGAGGAACACUUUAAUCUGUUUCAUUCAUUCAAAAGAGCUCUGAUACAAUUCAGUAUAAGUCUUCCAUUUAAGUGUCUUUAUUUUAUUUUAUUUUCUGUUUUACAUCUAUUCACCUUUAAAAUGCACUAUUAGUGUGCAAUUUAGUUUAUUGUGUUGUACAUGUUUACAAAUGGUACUGAGGCAAUAAAGGUCCCAGUUAUUCGCUUCCAAGCCAACUCCUUUUGUGAGUCUCCAAAACAAAACCUCCUUCUGAACCUAGUAAGAUGUCUAGGGUCUCUAUUUGAAGUGAAAGUGUACUGGUCCUGAGUAGAGGCGCUACACAUGUUUCACAUAUUAUAGACCAACAAGUUAUUCAUAGCAGUUUAAAUACGGGGAGUCACUUUUGGGCCCAGCAGAUAAAAC